GGAGCAUUUCUUGUACUAGAAAUAAUAGGAAUAAAUGAGUUUGUGGGCGGUUUGUUACGUGUGCUGUGGAAUCCCGAGGCUCAACCUCGGGCCUGCAGUGGGUACGGGCAGACUAGAGUGUGGUAGGGGAGAUUGGAAUUCCUGGUGUAGCGGUGGAAUGCGCAGAUAUCAGGAGGAACACCGAUGGCGAAGGCAGAUCUCUGGGCCGUAACUGACGCUGAGGAGCGAAAGGGUGGGGAGCAAACAGGCUUAGAUACCCUGGUAGUCCACCCCGUAAACGUUGGGAACUAGUUGUGGGGUCCAUUCCACGGAUUCCGUGACGCAGCUAACGCAUUAAGUUCCCCGCCUGGGGAGUACGGCCGCAAGGCUAAAACUCAAAGGAAUUGACGGGGACCCGCACAAGCGGCGGAGCAUGCGGAUUAAUUCGAUGCAACGCGAAGAACCUUACCAAGGCUUGACAUAUACGAGAACGGGCCAGAAAUGGUCAACUCUUUGGACACUCGUAAACAGGUGGUGCAUGGUUGUCGUCAGCUCGUGUCGUGAGAUGUUGGGUUAAGUCCCGCAACGAGCGCAACCCUCGUUCUAUGUUGCCAGCACGUAAUGGUGGGAACUCAUGGGAUACUGCCGGGGUCAACUCGGAGGAAGGUGGGGAUGACGUCAAAUCAUCAUGCCCCUUAUGUCCUGGGCUUCACGCAUGCU
RNAcentral lists this ribosomal RNA (699 nucleotides) under uncultured Mycobacterium sp. RNAcentral's name for it is "bacterial SSU rRNA". It matches the Rfam family "Bacterial small subunit ribosomal RNA", at positions 1 to 1226 of the family's 1533-position model. Lineage: Bacteria; Bacillati; Actinomycetota; Actinomycetes; Mycobacteriales; Mycobacteriaceae. The record is from RNAcentral.